Molecule: ribosomal RNA, 437 nt
Filed under: uncultured Desulfobulbus sp.
Lineage: Bacteria; Pseudomonadati; Thermodesulfobacteriota; Desulfobulbia; Desulfobulbales; Desulfobulbaceae
Description: bacterial SSU rRNA
Rfam family: Bacterial small subunit ribosomal RNA
Source: RNAcentral
CGAUGCAACGCGAAGAACCUUACCUGGUCUUGACAUCCCGGAGACCCUUAGGAAACGUAGGGGGUGCUUCCAUCUGGAAGAAUCUGGAGACAGGUGCUGCAUGGCUGUCGUCAGCUCGUGUCGUGAGAUGUUGGGUUAAGUCCCGCAACGAGCGCAACCCUUGCCUUUAGUUGCCAGCAGUUCGGCUGGGCACUCUAAAGGGACUGCCGGUGUUAAACCGGAGGAAGGUGGGGAUGACGUCAAGUCCUCAUGGCCUUUAUGACCAGGGCUACACACGUACUACAAUGGCCGAUACAAAGGGCAGCGACACUGCGAGGUGAAGCCAAUCCCGUAAAAUCGGUCUCAGUCCGGAUUGGAGUCUGCAACUCGACUCCAUGAAGUUGGAAUCGCUAGUAAUCGUGGAUCAGCAUGCCACGGUGAAUACGUUCCCGGGCCUU